Molecule: ribosomal RNA, 2860 nt
Filed under: human gut metagenome
Description: bacterial LSU rRNA
Rfam family: Bacterial large subunit ribosomal RNA (bases 1-2464)
Source: RNAcentral
UUAAGUUAAUAAGGGCGCACGGUGGAUGCCUUGGCACUAGAAGCCGAUGAAGGACGUGACUAACGACGAAAUGCUUUGGGGAGCUGUAAGUGAGCAAUGAUCCAGAGAUGUCCGAAUGGGGGAACCCGGCAGGUAAUGCCUGUCACUCAUUACUGUUAAGGUAAUGUAGAGGAAGACGCAGUGAACUGAAACAUCUAAGUAGCUGUAGGAAGAGAAAGCAAAAGCGAUUGCCUUAGUAGCGGCGAGCGAAACGGCAAGAGGGCAAACCGAAGAGUUUACUCUUCGGGGUUGUAGGACUGCAACGUGGACUUAAAGAUUAUAGAAGAACUACCUGGGAAGGUAGGCCAAAGAGAGUAAUAGCCUCGUAUUCGAAAUAGUCUUUAUACCUAGCAGUAUCCUGAGUACGGCGAGACACGAGAAAUCUCGUCGGAAUCUGGGAGGACCAUCUCCCAACCCUAAAUACUCUCUAGUGACCGAUAGUGAACCAGUACCGUGAGGGAAAGGUGAAAAGCACCCCGGGAGGGGAGUGAAAUAGAACCUGAAACCGUGUGCCUACAACAAGUUCGAGCCCGUUAAUGGGUGAGAGCGUGCCUUUUGUAGAAUGAACCGGCGAGUUACGAUAUGAUGCGAGGUUAAGUUGAAGAGACGGAGCCGUAGGGAAACCGAGUCUUAAUAGGGCGCAUUAGUAUCAUGUCGUAGACCCGAAACCAUGUGACCUACCCAUGAGCAGGUUGAAGGUGAGGUAAAACUCACUGGAGGACCGAACCAGGGCACGUUGAAAAGUGCUUGGAUGACUUGUGGGUAGCGGAGAAAUUCCAAACGAACUUGGAGAUAGCUGGUUCUCUCCGAAAUAGCUUUAGGGCUAGCGUCGAUGUUAAGUCUCUUGGAGGUAGAGCACUGUUUGGGUGAGGGGUCCAUCCCGGAUUACCAAUCUCAGAUAAACUCCGAAUGCCAAUGAGAUAUAAUCGGCAGUCAGACUGCGAGUGCUAAGAUCCGUAGUCGAAAGGGAAACAGCCCAGACCACCAGCUAAGGUCCCAAAAUAUAUGUUAAGUGGAAAAGGAUGUGGGGUUGCACAGACAACUAGGAUGUUAGCUUAGAAGCAGCUAUUCAUUCAAAGAGUGCGUAAUAGCUCACUAGUCGAGUGACCCUGCGCCGAAAAUGUACCGGGGCUAAAACAUAUUACCGAAGCUGUGGAUACCUUUAUAGGUAUGGUAGGAGAGCGUUCUAUGUGCGAAGAAGGUGUACCGUGAGGAGUGCUGGAGCGCAUAGAAGUGAGAAUGCCGGUAUGAGUAGCGAAAGACAGGUGAGAAUCCUGUCCACCGUAAGACUAAGGUUUCCAGGGGAAGGCUCGUCCGCCCUGGGUUAGUCGGGACCUAAGGAGAGACCGAAAGGUGUAUCCGAUGGACAACAGGUUGAUAUUCCUGUACUAGAGUAUAUAGUGAUGGAGGGACGCAGUAGGCUAACUAAACCAGACGAUUGGAAGUGUCUGGCCAAGCAGUGAGGUGUGAUAUGAGUCAAAUGCUUAUAUCUUUAACAUUGAGCUGUGAUGGGGAGCGAAGUUUAGUAGCGAAGUUAGUGAUGUCACACUGCCGAGAAAAGCUUCUAGCGUUAAUUAUACUCUACCCGUACCGCAAACCGACACAGGUAGUCGAGGCGAGUAGCCUCAGGUGAGCGAGAGAACUCUCGUUAAGGAACUCGGCAAAAUGGCCCCGUAACUUCGGGAGAAGGGGCGCUGACUGAUGGUCAGCCGCAGUGAAUAGGCCCAAGCAACUGUUUAUCAAAAACACAGCUCUCUGCUAAAUCGUAAGAUGAUGUAUAGGGGGUGACGCCUGCCCGGUGCUGGAAGGUUAAGAGGAGUGCUUAGCGUAAGCGAAGGCAUGAAUUGAAGCCCCAGUAAACGGCGGCCGUAACUAUAACGGUCCUAAGGUAGCGAAAUUCCUUGUCGGGUAAGUUCCGACCCGCACGAAAGGCGUAAUGAUUUGGGCACUGUCUCAACGAGAGACUCGGUGAAAUUUUAGUACCUGUGAAGAUGCAGGUUACCCGCGACAGGACGGAAAGACCCCAUGGAGCUUUACUGCAGUUUGAUAUUGAGUAUCUGUACCACAUGUACAGGAUAGGUAGGAGCCUAUGACCUCGGGACGCCAGUUUCGAGUGAGGCGUUGUUGGGAUACUACCCUUGUGUUAUGGCUACUCUAACCCAGAUAGGUUAUCCCUAUCGGAGACAGUGUCUGACGGGCAGUUUGACUGGGGCGGUCGCCUCCUAAAAGGUAACGGAGGCGCCCAAAGGUUCCCUCAGAAUGGUUGGAAAUCAUUCGCAGAGUGUAAAGGUAUAAGUAGAGCUUUCUGCUUCUGGUAGCAGGCAGAUAGCAUCAGCAUUGAUAAUAGUCCGUUCUUCAUUUUGAUAAAUGCCAGGAACAAAGGUUGCUGGUUGUUCACUAUCGAUGCCGCUAUAGACUGAAUAUUGACUGAUAAGGUAUAAAGUGUUAUCGAUUAACCGGGAACUUGUAUAAUAACCAUCCUGUCCGACACUAUUCAAUAGUUGGGGAGAAGUAGGAUCGCUGAUAUCAUAAAUUAGAAUAGACGUCACUUCUGUGCUGCCUGGCCAAUAGUCUGCCACUGCAUCUGUCUUGACGGCAGCUCCAUUGGCAUCGGAAUUGCUUGUUGCACUAGGAUAACUGCAAAUCAUUAAUUGAGCCUUAGAAGUGAUUACUGCUAAAUAGUUAUCAUAGACAUAGAUCUCCGAGGCAAAUUGAUAGUUUUCAUCUGCUGCUAAUUCGUCAAAGUCGGGUAGUAUCUUAGUUUGGGAAAGAAUAGCGCUGUCAGCACCGUUGGCACUACUGAUAAUCAAUUCAUUAUCAC